AAAUGGUUUCCAUGAAUAUCUCCCAAAUAUACGCACACAUUUAUUGCUAUUCUGCUUCGUAUUCAAAUUUCAAUUUGAGAAAAUGGCAACGCUAUUUAUUUCAUAUUUAAAAUCCCGUAUUCUAAAUUCAAUUUAGAAAUUUGUUUGAGUUCAUAUUUGGAUUGAACAGCUAAUUAGAAUCAUCUGAUGGAAUUGGACGUAUUGUUAAUGCAUCUUUUUCAUAUCAAAUGAGAGGUAAUUCUUCAUCUGUAACAUCUUUUAUUCGGUAAUUACUUUCUCUAAUUUUUGCUACUAUUAACCAUUUUCGUGUUUGACUUUUGACAAAGAAUGUGCGGUUUGAUUUUGUGGAUUUGGCAUAGCUUCUGUUGUUUGAUUCCCGAUCGAGAGAGAUAGAGUUGGAGAGAGCACACACGAUUGAUGGAGAUAUAAAUGUUAAUUAUAUGAGAAUAAUCUAGGGUUUUUGGUUUUCUGCUUCAGAUUGAUGGAGAUGGAGGGGGAAUGUGCUGCAGGAGAAGAGGUUCAACAAGGUACAAACAAUAUUCAUUUGAUAUGUAUUUCUUUUUAUUAAUAAUUUUUCCAUUACAUUGGGAUUGAUAUUAUAUUACCUCACGUAUAUGAAUUUAGUGUGUUCCAUUUCCUACUGGUUUUGUUUUUAUUUUGGCACAUUCUGGUGCUCAAUCGCUUAAUGUUGCAGGAAAAAAUAUUGGCAUUUUGAUUUUAAGGCCAGACCACUACUUUUCCAAUUGAAAACUGAUCUGUAAUGGAACCCGUUGCAUAUAAUUGUAAGUAUUGAAACUACACCUUUUCUUGAUGAUGUGAAGUUGAAUGUAGGGUUAUUAGGUCUUCAUAACUAGAUUAUGCAUCUACUUACAGUAUGCAACAACCAAAAUGAAAGUACAUACCUUUUGAGUUCCAUAGUUUGGAGUUGUGAUAAUUUAAUCCAAAACAUAAAGGCAAAGCUUUUUAGGUGUCAUUUUCUUGAGUAAUUUAAAUUCUAAACAAGACUUUGAAGUCUAAAGUUGAUUUCAACCACUUGUAUCCAAAAAGAAGUUUAUAUUCACAAUCGUUAAAAAUCUUGAUUAUUUUAGGCCUCUUGGCCAUGGAUGUAUUCUAAAAAGGGCAGAGUAUAUUGCGGUAUUGCUAUAAUGCUAAUUCCUUUAAUUUGCCCUAUUUUUAUGUUAAAUGAUGCAUUUAAUUGUUGAAGGGUUUUUUUUUUUAAUAUGGGAUUAUGGGAUUUAAGGAAAAAUUAUUCUAUUUUUUCAGGUGCUUUUAUUCCAGAAAGCAGCUCAUGAUUCACAUUUUAAGACCAACUCGUGGUGACUGAUGUUUCUAAUGCUGGAAAUUGCUCUCAAGCUUGGCUGUUUUUUUAUUUGGCUUUUGAUUUCAUCUACCAAGCUUGAAUGCAUGAAGUGCUGAAGUGCUCUGUAUCCUCUUCUGAUUGUUUGCUAUUGUCAUGUGUCCUGUGGAAGUCUAAAGUCCAUUGCUCUCUAAAUGGUUUGCCUUUGGUCCUUGCUGGUGGUUGCUCUCAAGAUUGGUUUGAUAAAGUUUGGAGUUUGAUCUCAUCCAUCUCGAUUGAAUGAUGUGAAUACUCUAUUGAUCUUUUUUUUUUUUCUAUUGUUAUGUUCCUUUUCAAAAGCCCAAAGUUUCACAUUUUAAUUGGGUUGAUCUUAAUUUUCCUGGUGGUGUUUUUGUUGAUACUAUACUACGC
RNAcentral lists this long non-coding RNA (1708 nucleotides) under Lactuca sativa (garden lettuce). Its description in RNAcentral is "long non-coding RNA (LSAT_LNC003441)". The record is from RNAcentral. Lineage: Eukaryota; Viridiplantae; Streptophyta; Magnoliopsida; Asterales; Asteraceae.